UGAAUGUGCUGAUGUUACACUCACAAACAUCACUUUCAAAAUGGUUUAAAAUCAGACCAUACUGGCAUCAUUAAAUGGAGAACAUCUCCUAAAUAUUCACAUCAUCAACCUGUCCAGCUCCCAGGCUACACCUCCUAAGUGUAAUAUUCAGUUAUGUUUCUACUCUAUUUCAUUUGUGAUUUUAAAUAAUUCCUCUGCCUUGGAUUUCACAAGUGAUUUUAUAUGAUAUUCCCCUCGGAUUUUAUAUUAUUAUCCAAGAAAGAAGAGGUUUCUUUAAUUAGGGCAUUGUUGUUAAUAUUUAUCCUGAUGGAUAUAUUUAUAUACUUUAUUUUGGAAUUCAUAGACUGUAGAUUUUUUUUUCCACAGAAAAGGAGUAUCGUUACUGCACAAAUAAAUUGUAUCUUCCAACUCAUUUGGUUUAUCAGCUGAAAUAAAUAUGCCAAAUACCGGAAUUCACUCUCA
This is a long non-coding RNA of Candoia aspera, 462 nucleotides long. RefSeq lists it as uncharacterized. Lineage: Eukaryota; Metazoa; Chordata; Lepidosauria; Squamata; Candoiidae. The record is from RefSeq and is a predicted model, not a curated record. The transcript has 2 exons.